This 253-nucleotide ribosomal RNA is filed under the name uncultured bacterium. Its description in RNAcentral is "partial 16S ribosomal RNA". It matches the Rfam family "Bacterial small subunit ribosomal RNA", at positions 524 to 776 of the family's 1533-position model. The record is from RNAcentral.
GACGAACCGUGCGAACGUUAUUCGGAAUCACUGGGCUUAAAGCGCGUGUAGGCGGGUGGGCGCGUCGGCCGCUGAAAUCCCCCGGCUCAACCGGGGAAGGGGCGCCGAGACGGCCGGCCUGGAGGGACGUAGGGGGGCUGGAACUUCCGGUGGAGCGGUGAAAUGCGUUGAGAUCGGAAGGAACGCCCGUGGCGAAAGCGAGCCCCUGGACGUCUACUGACGCUGAGACGCGAAAGCCAGGGGAGCGAACGGG